UGGUUGAAAAGGUUUGUUAGAUGGAGAAAGAGCUGAAGCGUAUAAGGGAGAAGCGAAGAAUAUUUGCAGAACUAACCAGAAAAAUAUUGAAAGUGUAAUCAUCUUCUUCCCCAGUUCUUUAUGUAAUUCUUAGGGUUUGUUAUUUCAUUGUUGUUAGAGCUGAUUCUACUUCUAAGCUCUAUCACAUGAAAUUUUGGAUUCUCGUUUCAUGAACGACGAUUCAAUUUGGUGUUUGUAAAUGGAUUUUAAUUGAGUUACAGUUUCUCUUUAACAAAGGUAUCAGAGCUGUGUCAUCCUCGGAUUCAUUUCAAUGGCGGCGAAACAAUAUCAGACGGUGGUUCGUGAAGCUUUGACGGAGACUCGAUCAGAAUGGUUUGGAUUGGUGUUUAGCAAUACAGAAGAAUCGAUUGGAGCUCACAACGUCGGACGAUUCUCACGGCUUGUAACUACAAAUCCGAUCAAGAAUCAUUAAACUAGCACUGCUGGACCUGGUACGUCAUCGAACAAUUAUUUUGAUGCUACACGUUUGGAGAAAUUAGUCCCUCAGAUUUAAUGGUGAUAGAAUCAAGGAUUGGCUAUUCCAGAUCAAACAGUUCUUCUUAAUUGAUAAUACUCUGGAUGAACUCAAAGCUACUCUUGCUUCAAUGCAUUUAGAUGCUAUGGCUGCUUCUUGUCACCAAUCAAUUUCACAAUCAGUUGUUAGGUGUAAUUGGGGGCUUUACAAAGUGUUGUUGCAAGGAUACUAUUAUAAGCUUAUGGAUGCUAUAGCAGAGCUGAAACAGUUGCAGGAAACAGAAGGAAUUGAGGAUUAUCAUGAAAAAUUUGAGCGGAUUAAGUCUCGUGUGAAUCUCCCUGAAGUGUAUUUGGUUAGUGUUUACUUGGAGGGACUGAGAACUGAUACUCAAAUGAACGUUAGGAUGUUCCAACCUCAAACCAUUCAACAAUGUUUCUCGAUUGGAAGAUUAUAUGAGUUCGCUUAUCCGACGAGAGUGAUUAGCAGAAAAGGGGUUGAUGAUUAUCAAAUUAGAGUUCAGCCUUCAAAUGUUUCAGGAAAAGCUGCAGAGACUUCUUUGAUGGAUUUUAACAAUUGUUCAGGCGUUAGAAGGAGGAGUGAAAGUAGCAUUCAGUAUAAAGGGGUUUUAUCAUUCAAACCAGAGCUUGUUCAUAAAAAAGGUUCUUGUUCCUACUUUGGAGAAACCUAAAGAUGCUAUAGCUCAGCCUCACAAAAAAGCUUGUGCUGAAUCAGAAGAAGUUCAGGUGGAGAAGGUAGCCUCGGAAGAAACCGGAGUUAUAGCUCAUAUUUCGGUUAAUGCAAUUUCAGGAGUCUAUGACUACCAAACAAUGAGAGUGAAGGGUUCUUAUGGGAAGCAAGUAUUGUAUAUACUCAUUGAUUCAAGUUCUACACAUAACUUCAUGGAUCCUAAGGUAGCUGAGCAGUUUAACUGUGUUUUAAAACCUGAAAGUAUGGCUCGAGUUUCAGUAAUUGAUGGGAGAAUGUUGAAGGUUGAUGCUAAAAUUGAUAAGUUUCAAUGGAAAUUUAGAGGUAAACAAUUUCAGACUGAUCUUAUGGUAAUUCCCUUAAGUGGGUGUGAUAUGGUAUUAGGUAAGCAGUGGUUGGAGACAUUGGGGCCAAUAACUUGUGAUUUUGAGAUGUUAGUGAUGCAGUUUCGUCUUGGACAGAAAAAGGUCCUUCUUCAGGGCAUUCGACAAGGCUCUGUCAGAGAUGUGAAGGCUGUAAAGCUUAAUAAGCUUAAUAAGCUGAAGGAGAUUCAAGUUCAACCUUCGCAUAAGAAGCAACCGGUUCAGCAAGAACCUUAUGGUGUGAGUAAACUGUUGAAGCAACAUGAAGCGAGUUAUGCCCCAAAAUUGAUUGAAAUGUUGCCUAAUGAUAGAAGUUCAGAAUUGAUAUCACACGAUGUUGUUGGUUCUUCAAGAGGACACAUCACAAGUUUUGUCUUAGCAGUGGGUGAUUGUGGGAUGAGUGUUGGAAGUUUAAAUUCAAGCUGGAAAACGAGGACACAAAGCAACAAAAAAAUAAGGUGUUGUUUCAACAUUCAACCAGUUCUUCUAUUAGAUUGCAGAGUAUGGAAAAGCAAAACAAAUGUCCCAAGUCUUGGAUGUUCAAAUUCAAGAUGGAUUCUAAGCUUGCAGAAACUAGUCACUUAAAGUGUCACAACGAAUGUUGUCUUUGCACACAAAUCGGAGGCAUCAAGAAGCAGAGAAAACUUCUUCUGCUUUCUCUUUGUCCUAGUUUCGUAUGGCGAGAAGUGAUGGGUGUUCAUGAAGUUCCUGCAGAAGAACUGUUAUUAGUCUCUUUGGAAGCUAAACCUCAACCUGACCAAGCGAUUUCUGUAGAAGAGCAAAUGGUUCAGCAAGAGCCUUCUGUUGGUGGGAAGAAACUGUUGCUAACGUUGUGAAAGGAUUUUGAUUCGCCUAUGGUCAUUAAGGAUCAGCAACCUGUUGUGGCAAAAGCUUUGAGUCUACUCUUCUAUGAUUUCUAUUCGGUAAUGGCUGACUUUUGAGAGAGGUCAACAUGUGUCAAGCCUUAUAAGUGGAAGCAAUUAUUAUCUCCAAAUUCUUGGAUGUUUAAAUAUAAAUUGGGAAGGGAGUGGAAGAAGAGAUUGAACGUUUCGUUUCAAUGUUCUAUACUGAUGAUUACAGUUGGUUACAGAUCAGACUUAGCGAGACUCUUCUGCUUUGUACAAGAGUUUCAAGCCGAUAAACCUUGUGGUCAAAGUUUUCUAAAGAGGGAGGAUUUGAUACAGGAAAAGAGAUAAGAAGAGUAGCAUGUGUGGCACGUGAGAAGGAUAGGAGUUGCUGGACAUGUGGGAGAAGUUUAUUGGUUGAAAAGGUUUGUUAGAUGGAGAAAGAGCUGAAGCGUAUAAGAGCAUGUGCAUCGCACCGUCCUUCGUCCGUCCUUCCUAAUUAAAAUGUCAAAUUUAAAUGUAAAUCAAUAAAUUAUCAAAGAAACGUAUCUACAAGAGGGACGUAUAUUGCUCGGUCCUUCAUAACACGUGGCCGCGUGUGAGAGGUUUGGGUAGGGUGAAGGAAAAAAAAUCGAAGUAUCGAGAUCAUUUGUUUUCUCUCCGACUCUCUCUCUUUACGCAGCUUCCUUCAAUCAUCACCAUUUCCGUCGUGCUUCUCUCUCUCGUUCGUCUGCGAAGAAGAAGAAUCUGACUCUGAGUUGUUGUAAGGACAUGAAUCUCGCGGUGGCUAGUUUUAGUGGCAAUUUGGGCGUCUUGUCGCAAUGCAGCUCAUGUUGUAGUCGUCUUAAGUUUCAGCCUUUUGUAGGAGCUACUUCGAGUCUCAAUUUCGGGCAAACAGGAACAUCUCGAAAGAAGAAGGAUCUGAAGCUUGAAAGGUUUUCAUAUUGUUUUUAUUCAUCUUUGUCUUUUGUUAGUUAACCGGUGAGCACUACUAUUGCUUCUUUGUCUACUUA
Molecule: non-coding RNA, 3439 nt
Organism: Camelina sativa (false flax)
Lineage: Eukaryota; Viridiplantae; Streptophyta; Magnoliopsida; Brassicales; Brassicaceae
Source: RefSeq, a predicted model, not a curated record